UAUAAAAGACAUAAAAAUUGUGUCUCUAUUUUCAAAGAGCUCAUAAGCUAGAUGAUGAGAAAAAUUAACUUUCAAAAACCACUAAGCAGCCUGGCUGGCGUGGCUCAG
This is a long non-coding RNA of Pipistrellus kuhlii (Kuhl's pipistrelle), 108 nucleotides long. RefSeq lists it as uncharacterized. The record is from RefSeq and is a predicted model, not a curated record. Lineage: Eukaryota; Metazoa; Chordata; Mammalia; Chiroptera; Vespertilionidae. The transcript is spliced from 3 exons.